GCAACGGAUAUCUCGGCUCUCGCAUCGAUGAAG
Molecule: ribosomal RNA, 33 nt
Filed under: Pimelea axiflora subsp. axiflora
Lineage: Eukaryota; Viridiplantae; Streptophyta; Magnoliopsida; Malvales; Thymelaeaceae
Description: partial 5.8S ribosomal RNA
Source: RNAcentral